CGUAGGGGGCAAGCGUUGUCCGGAUUUAUUGGGCGUAAAGCGCGCGUAGGCGGCAAGGUAUGUCGUGCGUGAAAUCUCCCGGCGUUAACUGGGAGGGGCCGUGCGAAACUGCCUGGCUUGAGGUCGGAAGGGGAAAGUGGAAUUCCGGGUGUAGUGGUGGAAUACGUAGAUAUCCGGAGGAACACCAGCGGCGAAGGCGGCUUUCUGGUCCGAUUCUGACGCUGAGGCGCGAAAGCGUGGGGAGCGAUCCGGAUUAGAUACCCGGGUAGUCCACGCCGUAAACGAUGAGUACUAGGUGUCGGGGGUAUCGACCCCCUCGGUGCCGUCGCUAACGCAUUAAGUACUCCGCCUGGGGACUACGGCCGCAAGGCUA
Molecule: ribosomal RNA, 373 nt
Filed under: uncultured organism
Description: bacterial SSU rRNA
Rfam family: Bacterial small subunit ribosomal RNA
Source: RNAcentral